CCUCCAUGUAUGCCUACAUGGGCAAGUGCAACACACACACACACACACACACACACACACACACACACGAGUAAACUCACACCUGGGCUUUUCUCUUUACAGGUCCAUCGGCUGGUGGUAGUGAAUGAUGCAGAUAGUAUUGUGGGUAUUAUCUCCCUGUCAGACAUCCUGCAAGCCCUGAUCCUCACACCAGCAGCAGGUGCCAAACAGAAGGAGGCAGAGGCCGAAUGACCCCCGUGAAUGUAGACACCCUCACAGGAGAACUUGAACAAAGUCUCGGGGUCGCGGUUUGCCUCAUGAACACUGGCUGCGAUGGAAGAAAAUAAAGUGGCUGAGAAUGUAUAUCAGGGUUUGGCAAUGGGUAUUUUUCCAGUGAUUUGUAAGCAUAGGAAAAGAUUUUAUGUGCUUGAAGAUUCAGGCUUACCUUCAAAGACUGUCCUCAGACCCCCCCGUCCGAGGGGUUUCCAAUGCUGUAUGUCAUUAAAGUGCACUGUGUCUGAAAUUAGUACUACUUUUCAUUUCAAAGAAGUCACUGGGAUGGAACGGGUGACCGGAAGGGAGCGAACGGCACGUCCAGAUCACGGUGCCUUAUGUCCAAACACGCAAUAUGUCACCGCCGCCACACGCCCCAAAGUGCUGCUGAAGAGACGGCCAGCCCGAAUGUGAACAUCCUCAAACCUUUUACCCAGUCUCUUUCUUUUCAUUUGAUUUGUUGGAAAGUUGUAAUUUUAACGAAGGCAACGGAAAACUUGAGGAGAUGGUCCCCUAAGUGCUGUGUGCCCUGUUCUGGCUGCCGUGUUGACGAGGCUGGUUGGGCAACAACACUUUAUUUAUUUUCACUCUCAUGCAGUUUUUUACACAUCUGGUGAAUGGGUUCACCAAACCUAUGAAUAAAAUCUUGGUUGUUCUCUUAAA
Molecule: non-coding RNA, 915 nt
Organism: Peromyscus maniculatus bairdii (prairie deer mouse)
Lineage: Eukaryota; Metazoa; Chordata; Mammalia; Rodentia; Cricetidae
Source: RefSeq, a predicted model, not a curated record